UACGUAGGUGGCAAGCGUUGUCCGGAUUUACUGGGCGUAAAGGGAGCGUAGGCGGACUUUUAAGUGAGAUGUGAAAUACCCGGGCUCAACUUGGGUGCUGCAUUUCAAACUGGAAGUCUAGAGUGCAGGAGAGGAGAAUGGAAUUCCUAGUGUAGCGGUGAAAUGCGUAGAGAUUAGGAAGAACACCAGUGGCGAAGGCGAUUCUCUGGACUGUAACUGACGCUGAGGCUCGAAAGCGUGGGGAGCAAACAGGAUUAGAUACCCGU
This 266-nucleotide ribosomal RNA is filed under the name uncultured prokaryote. Its description in RNAcentral is "partial 16S ribosomal RNA". It matches the Rfam family "Bacterial small subunit ribosomal RNA", at positions 524 to 789 of the family's 1533-position model. The record is from RNAcentral.